This 3500-nucleotide long non-coding RNA is filed under the name Oryza sativa (Asian cultivated rice). RNAcentral's name for it is "long non-coding RNA (OSAT_LNC000351)". The record is from RNAcentral. Lineage: Eukaryota; Viridiplantae; Streptophyta; Magnoliopsida; Poales; Poaceae.
UCAAGGUUUUCGUCCUCCGGAAAAUUGGGUGUACUCACCUAAUCAAAUUACUGGGUCUGCUUCUUCCCACGGAUCAGAAUCAGCCUCUCAGUGCCCUGCAAGAUAUGAAGAGAACAAUGUGGUUGAUAUCGAAGAGUCAAGUGACAACAGUCAAGAGGCAGGGAGGAGAGGAACACGAGUCAACUGGACUGAAGAGGAAAACAUAAGACUCCUUAGCUCUUGGCUGAAUAAUUCAGUGGAUCCUAUAAAUGGUAAUGAUAAGAAGGCAGAAUACUAUUGGAAGGCUGUAGCUGUAGAGUUUAAUAGCAAUACAUCUAGAAGUAACCGCAAAAGGACAGUUGUGCAAUGCAAGACACAUUGGGGUGGUGUUAAGAAGGAAAUUGGAAAAUUUUGUGGAGCUUAUUCUCGAGCUAGAAGCACCUUCAGUAGUGGAUAUUCUGAUGAUAUGAUCAUGGAGAAAGCUCAUAUUAUGUUUAAGUCAGAAAACAAUGAAAAACCUUUCACAUUGGAGUAUAUGUGGAGAGAACUGAAAGAUCAACCAAAAUGGCGAAGGGUCUUAGAAGAAGAUAGUAAGAAUAAGAGGACUAAGAUCUCUGAAUCAGGUGCAUACACAUCAUCGUCCAACCAAGACACGGAGGAGGAGAACAGACGCAAAAAGGAGAACAGACGCAAAAAGAAGCGCCCUGAGGGACAGAAAAAAGCCAAAGCCAAGUUAAAAGGGAGAGGUAAAAAUGUCGCACCUUCUCCUUUGGGAGACCAGCCAUGUCAAGACUUUGUUCUUUACAAUGAAGCUAUAAAAGUGAAAGCAGAAGCGAUGCUGAAAUCUGCAGAAGCAACAUCGAAAUCAGCUGAAGCAAAGAAGGAAUACACAAGAAUGGAGAAGUAUCAGACAUACUUAAAAUUGUUGGACAAAGACACUUCAAAUUUUAGUGAUGCAAAACUGAAGAGGCAUGAAGCUGUCCUCGAAAAGCUAGCUACAGAACUUGCUGAAGAAUAAAUGAUCACCAAGUGAUGUUGUAUCCCUGUUACUUAGUGUGCCACUAUGUGGUCUAUGAUCAAUUUGCUGCUAGGAUUUAGACUUAGCAAUUAUUAGACUUGUGAACUCAGUGUUAAGUUUGUAGGCUAAGUAAAUGUUGGAUUGUAAACUUAGUGAAUGAUGGUUGUAUCUUUGUACCUGUAGAAGAUGUUAUGUACUGAUAAUAUGUAGCCCACAGUCUUAAUUGAACUUAUUUGAAGUUGUUGGCCCAUAAUUUCUUAGCACUUGAUUUAACAGCAGCCUACAAAAUACAUAUGUAGCAGCAAUAAUUAGCACAAUUAUUUAUAAUCUUGCUGUUGUGAUAGUUUAAAAUAGUUGUAAAGCAAGACAUUGAUGUUUAUAAAACUGUUGUUUCAAUAUAUAAAAAGCAAGACAUGGAUGUUUAUAAAACUAUUGUUUAAAUAUAUAAAAAGCAAGACAUGGCUACUAAGAAUCUAGCUGUUGGAAUACAUCCAAACAGCAAGGCAUGCCUGCUGUGAAUCUAGCUGUUGGAAUACAUCCAAACAACAAGUCAUGACAUAGUUGUAUGGAAUAUAGCUGUUGGAAACUAGCUGUUGGAACAAAAGCAACACUGAGAUGUUAGCACAUAUCCAUUCAGUUGUAUCUUCUAUGAAACAGGGUAUGCAGUUCAGCAAGAUAUAUACCAUUGCCUUUAAUUCAGUUCAUUCUCAACAAAGCCACCUAGUUCCCACAAAGAUGUCUAGUGAUUCACAAGUCCAUUCUAGUCAUUCUGAUGAGUCCAUCACUAGUGAGAAUUUGGAAGAUAUGAUGUGGGAAGAAAUUAAUGAUCCUACUGAAGCUCAGCUAGAAGCCCGGCUUGAAGCUCAACUUGAGAUGAAAUUGAUGGCACGCCUAGCUGGGAACUCUAAUCAGCGUGGAGGCUACACACGCAGGUACAUCAGUAGAGAUCAUGAAGACGAUCACAACAGGUUAUUUGCUAAAUAUUUUUCAGACAAUCCUUUGUACACCGAUGAUCAAUUCCGUAGGAGAUUUCGCAUGAGGAGGCAUCUUUUUUUGCACAUUGUACAAGCUCUUGGCGAGUGGUCUCCAUAUUUUUGUCUUAGGACAGAUGCAUUUGGAAAGGUGGGUCUUUCACCAUUUCAAAAAUGCACUGCUGCCAUGCGAAUGUUGGCAUAUGGUACUCCAGCUGAUCUUAUGGAUGAGACUUUUGGGGUAGCUGAAAGCACAGCAAUGGAGUGUAUGAUCAAUUUUGUUCAAGGUGUGAGGCACAUAUUUGGUAAACAAUAUUUACGUAGGCCUACCGAAGAGGAUAUUCAACGCUUACUUCAGUUUGGAGAGGCACAUGGAUUUCCUGGCAUGUUGGGUAGUGUUGAUUGCAUGCAUUGGGAAUGGCAAAAUUGUCCGGUUGCAUGGAAGGGACAAUUCACACGUGGUGAUUAUGGGGUACCCACUAUCAUGCUUGAAGCGGUUGCCUCAAAAGACUUAUGGAUUUGGCAUGCUUUUUUUGGUGCCGCUGGUUCAAAUAAUGAUAUUAAUGUGUUAGACCAAUCCCCAUUAUUUACUGAUGUCCUACAAGGAAGAGCACCUCCUGUUCAAUAUACUCUCAAUGAGUCAGAUUACAACAUGGGAUACUAUCUAGCUGAUGGUAUCUAUCCAGAGUGGGCAACAUUUGCCAAAUCAAUCAUCAGACCACAGAGCGCUAAGCAUAAAUUGUAUGCACAACAUCAGGAAUCAGCUAGAAAAGAUGUGGAAAGAGCCUUUGGGGUUCUACAGAAACGUUGGGCCAUAAUACGUCACCCGGCAAGAGUUUGGGAAAGAGAAGAGCUAGCAGAUAUAAUGUAUAGUUGUAUUAUUUUGCCCAACAUGAUAGUUGAGGAUGAGAAAGGUUCCUAUGACAUACCGGAUGACAAAACAUAUGAACAAGGUCAAUUCUCUGCUCAGAUAACAGGACUUGACCACGGACCAAUAUAUGGAUUUGCAGAGGUACUAGAGAAAAACAGGGCUAUUCGUGAUCGAUCUACACAUCGGCGUCUCAAGGAAGAUUUGAUAGAGCACAUCUGGCAGAAAUUUGGAGGUCAACCACAACAAGAUUAGAGUGUAUUAACUUACUAUCAACCUUGUACUUUACUAUUUUCAUAUCAACCUUGUACUGUAAUAUUUUCAUGUCAACAGAUUUGGCUCAAUUACUUGUUUUUGCAAUAUACUUGUAUUACUUUGCAAUCUACCAGAUUUGUCUCAAAGCACUUAUCUUAAUAUGUCACAUAUUGAACCAGAACAAACAAGAAACAAAUAAUCACACAUGAACAGUGAGGCAUAAAAUACAUGCAAGUGGGUGAAAGGGGGCUUACCAAAUGGUCUACUUUGCAAUCUACACCGAUCUUUCAGAUCCGAUGCACAUAGCCUCCGGAUGAGGACUAGAAGCCGAAGCCGACGCCUCCCAUGACCUAUUCAGCCUCCACAACGAUGGCGGAAAUUUGGGGGGAAGAACCCGUCGAUGCGCCUG